Molecule: long non-coding RNA, 14079 nt
Filed under: Physcomitrium patens
Lineage: Eukaryota; Viridiplantae; Streptophyta; Bryopsida; Funariales; Funariaceae
Description: long non-coding RNA (PPAT_LNC008814)
Source: RNAcentral
UGAAAAAAAAAAAAAAAAAAAAAAAAAAAAAAAAAAAAAAAAAAAUUGAUAUUUUCUAAAAACAUUAAAAUUUAGAUGCAAAGGAUUUUUUUGAAUUGCCCAAAAUACUAAUAUUUUUCAAUAUCUCAAAGUCUAUAUUUUAAGAAUUAAGAAAGUGAUAGGAAUAAAAACUUACUUCCUUAUGUAUAUAUUGCUUUUAACUACUAUUCUUAAUUUAUAGAGAAAAGGAGAUUUUUUAUUUUUCUUUGUAUAAAUAUUUUUUUUAUUUCUUUUAAGCUAUAUUAAGAACCUUAUAUAUGGAUAAGAGACAAAAAAAUUAGCUACAUUUAUCUAAAUCUAUUUUUAAAUCUCUUAUUUCUUAAUUUUUUACAGGAAGGUUGUGAGCUAAAAUAAACCCCCACUAAUUGGAAGUUUAUUCUAGUUCACAAUCAUUAACCUACUUAGUAUUUUAUUAUCUAUAAUAAUUUUUUGAUUCUCAUUGAAUAAUAUUCUAUUCUUCUCUUAAUUAAACUCCAUUAAUCCAUCAAAUCCAUUCCUUAAUUUAUACCUACAAUAUUAGUUCUACUAAGAAUUGUAUGCAUAAAAAAACUUUUUAUAUAUUUUUAUUUUUAUUAUAUAUAUAUAUAUAUAUAUAUAUAUAUAUAUAUAUAUAUAAUUCUUAUACUUUAUCUAUCAACAAAAAAUAAUCCAAGUAGAAAUUAUCAUCUACAAAUAAAUUAUCAUUUACAAAUGAGUUUUUAUCCAAACCUAAAGUUCAUCAAAUCUUAAGUUUAUUUAACCUAAAUCUAAAAUCAUCCAAUAUUUUCACCUAAUUUAUUUAAUUCAUAAGAGAUUAACCAGAUAAGAUGAUGUCAAAGAUGCUUUAGAUGACAGUGAUCAAAGUGCAAUGCAAUAUCAUUGCUACCAUAAAGAUUGCAAAUAGUGAUGUUAAAAUAGAAGGAAAAUUGAAAGAUGUCAUUGAUAUCAAGAUGUUAAAUAAAAAAAUGUAACAUGGAAGCCACUUGAGCCUUUGAUACUACAUGUUUGCAUAAGGUUCAGUCAGAUUAAGAGUAGUCAAUAACUAACUAGAUACACAACCUUCUUUGUAUGUUGUAAAUAGUGCUACAAUGUAAUUAUACUAUGUGCUCUAUCACGGCCUUCACUCUUGGUAUAAUCAUCAAGUGUUCCUUGAGAUUUUUUCAAAUGCAACUACUUAAGCAAGAUAGUAAUAAGAAUCAUUGUUUGACUAAUGUACUUGAAGCUAGCCACUCUUUUAUUGUAUAUCUUCUAGACUAGUUCCUAGCUUUGCACCAUAGCUCUUUUGAGUCAAUCAAUUUCAUAUCUACAAUUGCCGUUAUAAUAUAGAAUGUAAUUAAUACUUUGUAAGACCUCCUUUGGCCUUGAUAACUACUUCUAACCUCCUAGGCAUACUUUCUAUUAACUUUUGGCACAAAAUUGCUUCAAUAUUAUUCCAUUCUAAAGUUUUCUUUUUUCAUAAUUUCCAAACUUUCUUUGAUUUUAUCUUCCAAGUGUUGAAUUGGGAUUUGAGAUGCUGCCAAAGAUAUUCAAUGGGAUUAAAAUCAAGAGACUAAGUAAGCCAAUCCAUUAGUUUAAUUCCAUUAUGAUCAAAUUACUUCCAUAUUAGUUUUGAAUUAUACUUGGAGUCGCUAUCUUGCUGAAAAAUCACCUCUUCUUCAGAAAUGUCAAAUUCUUCAAUUCUAGGAAGUAUGUUUUUUCAAGAAUUUCUACAAAUUACUUGGCAUCUAUCUAUCUUCUCUUCAACCUUUGCUAUCUUUCCUAUUCCAUUCUAUCCUAUACAAUCUCUACCAUCUUUCCAAUCCUAUUCUAUUCUAUACAAUCCCAUACCUUUAUAUCUUUACCUCCAUACUUAACUGUUUCUUGGAUCUUAUCAAGCAAAGACUGACCUUUUUGUUUCGACACCCACUUUCUACCAUCUAAUCCAAAUCUAUUGAUUUUUGUCUCAUCUGAUCAGAUAACCUUCUUCCAAUCCUCCAUAGUCCAUUUCUUAUACUUUAGAGUAAAAUCCAAGUGUUAUUUUUGAUGGUCGAUAGAUAAUAGUGGCUUUUUUUUUUCUUCACUUUGUCUUUUAUAUUCCAUUUUUUAAAAAUAUUUCAAAUGUUUUGGAUUGACACAAGAUUAUUGAUAAUAUUGUUUAGGUUUUUAACAACCUCAAUAGCAUUUUUAGCCUUCCUAGUGUUGAUUUGGCAAAUAAUUGUUCUUUCAUCUAUUACAGUGAGCUUCUUUGGUCUACCUAAUUUAAAGUUCUUCCUAUUAAAAAUGAUCUUUUUUCCUAGCCUAGAGAUAGUAACUUUACUGUAGCUAAGUUUACAAGCAAUUUGGCCAUAAGAUUUUUGAGAAUGAAGAACAACAAAGAUGAUGUUAUCUUCAAGAAAGUAGGGAAUGGGUCUCAUAGUUGUUCAAAGAAUUUUCAAGGACAUAAGAAUUUGACAAAGAAAUAUAUCAAGAUUAAAGACAAAGAAUGAAAUUGAUAGCAAAAGUGGUUCCAAAGAUUCCUAUUUACAUUAUAAUGAACGUUACACAAGUCUAUGGUACUUUCUAUAGAAAUUUUUAGAAGUCUAAAAAAGCUUCUAGAAGCCUAAGAAACUUUCUAAAAGAUUGUAAAAGAUUCUACAAGUAUGUAAAAGUUUCUAAAAAUUUAUAAAAUAUUCUAGAAGAUCCUAAAAUGUAAUAAUUUGGAAUAUAUCUAAACAAAGAAUUAUGAUUAAAAAUGAUACUUUCAUAGCUGCUAGUAAGUAUUAAUAAUGUCAUUAGAUUAAUAAUAGUAUUUUUAUAGUAAAUUUAAUGAUGAUAGAAUAUUGUAAUAUUGAAUAAUUGAAAAAAUCCAAAAAUUAGACACCACACUUAAAAAAUUAUUUCAAUACUACUCCAAAUUAGAUUGGUUGUAGCUCCACAAUUAUCUAAUGGAUUCUUUUCAAUCUAGGCUCAUUUGGAAGCUAUAAAGGAGUACUUUAUUUGCUAUACAAACCAUGUGUCAUUAUUCACUACAAUUCAUGUGUAAUACACCAUUCUUUCCAAAAUAUGUCUACAUUGAAAUAAUUUUUUGAAUCAUUGUAUAUAGAGAUUAAAAGUAAUUGCACUGCUUGAUAUAUUAAUUAUCUUAUUUAAAUGUUAAAUUGAUAGUUAUUUAUUAAUGUAAGAAGUAUUAAGAAUAAAUUUAUGAUAUGCUACUAUACUUAUUAGGUUUAUAAAUAUUAGCUAUUUUUUUAUCAUAUUAUUGACUUUAAUUUUUUAAUUCUAUUAAUUGGUCAAAUUCUAAGUACUUAUGGUUUAUUAGACAAUGAGAGCUUUGAUUUCAAUUCUAUUAUAUCAUUUUUGUUAAUUCAUAAUUAUAAAAGAAUAUAAUAUUAUUUUCUUUAUGUAACCAAUUUAUAAUCAUGGUAGUACACUUAAGACUUGGAUUAGUAUGAUAAGUAUUGCAAAAAAAUUAUCUAGUAAAACUAGCUAUGAUUUUUUUGUAUUUUCAACUAUUAAAAGUAAGCAAUUCUUUUUCACUUAUAUUACACAAAAUUAUUGUUAAUUUUUUUAUCUUAAGUUUUCAUGUAUAUUAUAUUUAUUGCCAAUGCAUGAAUUAAGAUACCAUUUAAUAAUGGAUCCUUAUAUACCAAAAGUCUUUAUUAUCCUUGACUUGCAAAUUGGCUCAAAUAUUAUAGUUGUUUACAACAUUAAAUUUUGAACAAAGAAAAGAUUAUACAAUUUUAUCAAUAAGAAAGUAUUUUCUAUAUCUACCUUCUUUGAUACAACCUUGUAUAUCUAUCACAACAAGGUUAUUAUGUUAGAGCAUGAUUGAAGGUAAAAAAUAUCACUAUUUAAUCUUAAUUCUUCUAAAAUCAUGUUCUAUAUUUUAUAGGUGGUUGUAUUUUUAAUUUUUAUAAUAACUAUAUCCUCCUUCAUCUUUAGUUCCAAAUAAAUUAUUAAUGUAUUAUAAACAUUUGCAAUAAAUUUAAAAUGUUUUAGUAUUGACUUAUCUUACAAAGUUGGAUUUGGUUUCAAAUUGUAUCUUUUGUCUAACCAUGAGGUUAAUUUUUAUUUUUAUGUAUUUUUAAUUUAUUUAGAAUUUUUAUUUUUAUAUAAAAUUAAAAUAAAUUCAUUAAAAUCACCUGUAAUUAAAAUAAAGGUAGCUGAUAGGCUAAUCAAAUUUUUACAUAACUUAUUGUUUAGAUUUUCUUCUAUUGUAUUAAGGUUUAAUUUUUAUAGAGUCAUUCUAAGAUCUUAUGAAUUUAAGUUAAAUUUGUAUUAAGCUUUAGUUUUAGAAAAAAUUGUGUAUUAUAUAAUUCAUUAAUUAAUUCUUAUAAAAAAUUGACAUCUUAUAGAAAGAUUUAAAAAAUCAAUAAAAAAAAUAUCUUAUUUUUGGUUAUUAAAUUAUUCAUUUGGAUUUUGAGGCUCCAUUCUAUACUAAAAUCUAUCCCAAUACAAAACUGUAACUUGAAACAAUUGGAAUCAUAUAGCAUGUGAUACAUAAAAAUUUCUAAACUUAUAAAAAAAAAUAUAGAAAUUUGCUGGAAUUCUUCUACUAGCUUCUUCAAUGCAAUGUAGGUUGGAAAUUCAAAUGAAUUUGUAUUAGAAAAACUAUCUAGAUUCUAUAUUACUCAAAGAUCAAAAUUAGAAUCCUAAGACUAGAAGGUGCAUGUUUCAAGUUUGAAUUUGUAUGGAGAUAGGACUCAAAGAUUACAACUUUUUUCUUCAAAGGUUGUUUUAAAUACAAAGAUAUUUUGUAAAGCUUUUUUAUUUAAAAAAAUAAUAUCUUUCAAGGUAGUUUUAAGGACCUCCUUUUGUUAUUCAAAACUAAAAUUUAUUGAUCUUCUACCUACAAACCAUACAAUGAUUAAGAUGUGGCAAAGUUUUGCUACCUCAUUGCAAAUCAAGCCAUUAUUUUAUUGUAAUUUCAAAGAGAUUCAUGUAUAUUAAAAGACUAUUUUAAUUUCAAGAAACUUUGGCCAAAAAUAACUCACUUGAGUAGAAUUUUUUUGGAUGUAAUCUUCUUUAAAGUUGCAAAAACUUACUUAUAGCAAAUUUUAUAUUUUUCUUCUUGAGGUUCAUUGAAAGUUUUAGAUUUGUAUUGUAUACUCUAAUUCUUACUUACAAUUGUGAACCUUCUUCCAAUUCUUUGCAUUUUUUGACAAAAUUUGUCUAUAUCUCCAUAAUUACCAAAGAAAGUUUUAAUAUAUAUAUAUAUAUAUAUAUAUACCAAAAAAAAAAAAAAAAAAAAAAAAAAAAUCUAAUUUUGAAUUUAUCUUGCAUUAAUGCAAAUGGAAUGUAGAAAAGAUACAACUUUAUACAAACCACAUGUGCAAGUAUCAAAGACAUGAAUUGAAAGAAGAUACAUAAACUUAUAAAAUCCAUGUCAGAAGAAAAGUGACAAAAUAAAAAUAAAGAAGUAUGUAUAUUAAAAGGAAACUAGAAUGGCUAUUUCCAAAAGAAAAGGAAACUAGAGACUCUUGAAUCUAAACUAGAAGCAAGAAAGAAAUUGACAAGAGUAAAGAAGGCUCUACUCUUGCCUAAGAUAUACUACAUACUAUAUACUAUAUAUACUAUUUACUUAAGAUCUAUGUAGCAACAUUCUAUAGGAGCUCCAAAUAUGUAUUGACUUUGUAUGACAUAUAUUUUAAUUUGUAAGAAAAAAUUUCUAUAUAGAUGCCACAUAGUUAGCUUAUUCCAUAAGCUACCAAUACAUGUGGUAUAUAAUUAGCUUGUUGAUUAAGUUUCUAACCUAUUAAUGAAUUACAAAUACAUGUAAAAUUAAAAUAGCAUUUAAAAAGCUUCUAAAAAGAUUUUGUAUAAGGUAUUAUGAAAUUAAUCUAUUUUUACUUACUUCUAUCUAUUCAUAUUACUUGAAUAACAAUUAUAAUAGAUAUAUAUCCAUGACAUUAUUCCCCCUUCUAGAGACGAGUUUCAUGAGGAGUAGUAAUUAUAUAUUGAAGAAGUCUAAGAAGCAAUGAAUUAUAUUUGCUAUGUAUUUUGAUCUUUAUUCUCUUCAAAGAUAGUUGAUAGGUUCUCUUAGCCAUCAAUAAUAUUCCAUUUCAAGGCAAAAAGAUCACCUUGUGAUUUGAUGAUUUAUUGAAACCUUUGUAACUUUCUUCAAACAAAAUAUUUGUAAUAUAAUUAGAAAUUGUAUCUAUCUCAAAUAAAAUCACUAAACAUUGAGAGUCUUUUUUUAAGUUGUGAUAUCAAACAUGAUGUAACUUACCAUCUAUUUGAGGAAGUACAUGUCGUUCUUGAAGGUCUUCAUUCUUAUUACAUCAUCUUAAAGGCUUUAAUAAUUAUAAUGUCUUAUCCAAUAAGUCAACAAAUAAUAGUUUUUGACUUGAAUCUACCAGCUAUUGGUUUUCCAUAUUUUUAAUGCCACAGUUAUACAAAAAUUACAAACAAGGAUAGAAGGUAAAAUACAGUCUUUUUUAAAUUGUGUUUCUUUAAUAGCAAAGAUUUGCUAUCCUUCAUUUUGAUUUUGAUGGAUGUGAUUGAUGAAAAGCUUUGACCUUAUCUACUAUAUUUGUAAGAUUUUUUGCUGGCUCCCAUGUGUAUUCACUAAUAUCAUAUCUACACCAAUAGACAAGAUAUUCCAACUUAUCACAAAGACAACUUCUACCACUUCAAAUUUUUCAUUAUUGUCUACUUCUAUGGAAAGAAGUGAGACUUGUCUUUUUUUUUUGGUAUGUUGAUAGUCUUGUAUGGUUUAAGAAGAGAUACGUGGAAUAUAUGAUGGAUCUUCAUUGACUUUGGUGAAUGUAAUUGAUAAGCAACUAGAUUUAUUUGUCGACAAAUAAGAAAAGGUUCAAACAUUUAGUAGUCUAACUUAUCACAAGGACAAGUAGUCUUGAUAUUAUGACAAAAUAAUCAUACCUUGUCACCAACAUUAAAUUAUAAUUAUUCCUUUUGAUAGGCAUUCGUAUUAAUCUUUUAUUCUUCUUGAGCUUCUUUUAACUGUACCUUCAUAUAACUUAUACAAAUGAUUUGUCAAAUCUUUUAGUGCAAGAUUAUUAACUUCUGAAAAAUUAAAAGUAUCAAGUCAGGGAUGAUAAUCAUAAUUGACAAAGAAAAAUGUUGGUUGCAUAAAAAAAUAUAUUGUAUUAUUAUUAGCAAACUUUGCCAAUGACAAGAGGGUUGUUCAAUCAUCUUAUUGAUAAUUGAUGGUACACCUUAAGUAUUAUUCCAAAACUUAGUUUACACACUCUAUAUGUCCAUUAAUUUGAAGAUAAAAGGUCGAAGAAAGCUUUAUGUCUACCUUUAAAAUCUUAAAAAGGAUUCUCUAAAAUCUUGAUAUAAAUUGAAUCUCCUUAUUUGAUAUAAUAUUGUUUGGAAAUCGAUGAUAUUGAUAGAUAUUGUUAAAAAAAAGCUUAGCAAUUUCUUGACAUAUAAUAGAUUUUCAUGUGUAUAAUACAAAAUAUGUCAUUUUGGUGAAAUGAUCUACUAUAACACAUAUAGAAUUAUACAAAUUUGAAAUUAAAAGAUCUAUAAGAAAAUUCAUAGAAAGAGAAGAUCAUAGUUGUUUAGAAAUAGGUAAUGGCUAAAGAAGUUUGUAAGAUCAAUGAUAAGGAGUUUUUGACCUUGAACAAAUGUCACAUAAUUAAAUAAAGUCUUUUAUAGCCUUUUAUAUUUGCACCCAUCAAAAAUCUUUGGAUAUUAGCUCUAAAGUCUUCUUAUAUUCAAAAUGUGCUACUGCUAGAAAUUUGUGACAUGCUUGAAGAAUAUGUAAACAUGCUUCUCCUUCUAAAAUAUAUUCUUCAAAAUAAAAUAGGUUCUUAAACUCAAACUUAGAAGUAUGACAAGAUUUAGAAGAAGUAUUCUUAAUAUCAUGAACAAGAAGAUAAGAUGACAUACUUGAUUGAAUUUGCUUGAAAAAAGUUUAAUCAAAAAUCAAUAUUGAUUUCACUACUUGAAGAUGAAAUUAUUCUUGCUUCAAUAAAAUUAUCUUUUCUUGAUCAAAAGCUGCAUCUCUUCCUUUUGAUAUAAGAUAAGAAUGUCUAGAAAAGACAUUGAACAAAUCUUGUUAUUUUUCUAACUAAUAAGUGAUAUUGAACUCGAAUCUUGAGAAAGACAUGUUUCAAUGAGUCUAGCGACUAUUCAAAAUAAAUGCUAACAUGAAAUACUUAAGGUUCUUGUGAUCUACAUAUAAAGUGAUUGGAUUAAAAGCACCUUCUAGACAAUGACACUCUUUUUGAAAAGAAUCCACAAUUACAAGAUAUUCUUUAUUGAGGAUCUUAUAGUUAAUCUCAACUAUUAAGAAUUUUUUAAAAUAGAAAGCUACUAGAUGGAGCUUGUCAACUUUUUCUAUUUGUGACAAAAUAGUAUCUAUAACAAAAUGUGAUGUGUCUAUUUCCAUAAAAAAAUGCCUUGAAAAAGUCAAUACAAUAUAAGAUUGGUACAUAAAUAAAUACCAACUUCAAGGCUUCAAAAGAUACUUUAGCUUCUUUGUUCCAAUGAAGUUUGUCUUUGCAUGUAAGAUAUGUAAGAGAAGCCGUAACUUGAGAAAAUUUCUUGAUGAAGAUCCAAGAACAAUUAAUAAAGCCUAAAAAGCAUUGCACAUCUCUUAUUAUUUUUGAAAUCUUUCAAUCUAUAAUAGUUUGAACCUUCUUUGGAUCCAUGAUAAGUUCUUUGUUGCAAAUGAUAUAUCCUAGAAAGUCAACUUGAAUAAUAUGAAAUAUACACUUUUCCAACUUGGCAUACAAUCCUUCAUCUUUAAGUUUCUAUAACACACAACAAAUAUGAACUUCAUGCUCUUCUCUGUUCUUAGAAUAGAUUAAAAUGUCGUUUAAGUAAAAAACAAAAAAAUCAUUUAGAAAUUCACAAAAAACAUCAUUUAUAAGAUGUUGAAAAGCAGCUAGUAUAUUUAUGAGUCCAAAAAGUAUGACAUUAUAUUUAAAGUAUCCAUAUCUUAUUCAAAAUAUAAUCUUCUAUUCAUCUCCUUCUUUAAUGUGGACCAAGUACUAUGCUUAUUUUAGAUCUACUUUUGUAUAGGUAUUAGCUUGAUUUAGUUGAUCAAGAAGUCGAGAUAUCAAGGAUAAAGAAUACCUAUUCCUAAUCGUAAUCUUGUUGAGUCUUCAAUAAUCUAUGCACAUUUGUAAAGAUCCAUCUUUUUUUUUCAUAAAUAAGAUAGGAGCUCUUAUAGGAGAUUUUCAAUGGCAUAUGAAAUUCUUAGCCAAGUUCUUAUCAAUAUAAUCUUUGAAUUCAAUCAACUCAUUUCAUAAUAAAUUGUAGAGUGGACCAAAUGGUGGCUGACUUCCCUCUUUAAGGUCAAUUGAGCAAUCAUAUGGACAAUGCUUUGAGAAAAUAUCUACAUUCAUCUUUUCAAAAAUAUCUUAAAAAACUUAAUAUUGACUUGGAAUGCUACUUGAAGUCUUUCUAUCAUUAAAAAUGGAUGUAGCAUAAGUAACAAAAGACAAUCCUUCUUUUGCAGCAUGGAAGUUUUUGUGCCUACAAAUAUGGAUUUGGCUACAUUAGACUCAUGGUUUUUUACAAAACUCUUAAUAAUGCUCUAAAAAAAUUCAAGUUUAUAAGAAAUUUAAUCUAUUAGAAGAUUAUAUUUUUCUAGCCUCGAUAAAUCUAAAAUGAUUGAAUUAGAGGAAGAUCUAAUUAUAUUAAAAAUUAUGCAACUAUUAUGACCAUUUAUUGCUCCAUCUAUAGGAAGUGUUUUAUAAGUAAUAUCUCUAGAAGAUAAAGAACAGAAAUUUAUAAUUUCUAUAUGUAUAGAUUUAGUUUUUUGUACUAAUGGUAUUCUAUAGCUUUUAACAAACUCUUCAUCUAAGAAACAAGUGGAAACUCUUGAAUCUAUCAAGGCAGAGGCUUUGUAAUUAUUAAGUCUUAAAUAUACAUCUAUUAUAAAAUAAAGAGAAGAUUUUGAAGAAAAGCUUUUCUACAAUAUAAACACAGUCUUUCUUCAUGACAAUGAGUCUUUUUUUUUUUAGUAAAAAGUUUAAAAUGUAUUGCAUCAAUUUGUAUAUCUUCUACUUUCAAAUAUUUAAAUUGAGAGGUCAUCAAUUUUGUCAUUGAAUUGUAAUAAUAUGAAGGUUUUCAUGUGUGAUUCUCAAAUUGAAAUUCAAUAAGCUAAUUGUCACACUUCACAACAAAGUCAAUUGUUUGACUCCAUGUCUAAAGAUCCAGUAAGUUUAGCAUCAAUUUCUUCAUCUCAUAUUGUAAUAUGUAAAGAAAAUGGUUGAUAAAGGCAGCAUCAUCUUACUUAACAUCAGUCGCUAAUUCUCAAAAUUAUGAAGCAUAUGAUAUCAUUGAUUGAUUGCUUUAUCACAAGAUAUGAAUCUUAUUAGUUGCAACACAAAUUCCAUCAUGUUUUUUAUACGUAGAUCAAAACUUUGCCAAAAAAGUCUUCAGAUUAUCCAAUAUUGAAUCUUAUCAUUCAAGAAAAGAUGAAAACCAUGAUAAUACUAAACUUGAAAAGAGUGUAUCAAUGAAUCUAACUUGUGAUUCCAUCAUUGCAUAGCUUUGGAAUUGAAGUUCAAUUACAAAUUAUAUUUAAUGGAUAUAUCCUCAAAAUUUGAAUCUUCUGCCAUCAAAUUUCUUGGAUAAGUCAAUUCUUGGUUCUUUAAAAUAAAAAGGAUGUUCUACUAUAGGAGAAGGGAUGUAAUUUGGUGUAAAUAUUGAAGCAGCUCCAAUCAUGUCCAUGUCUUCAAUUUUUGCCAUUUUUAUUGUUCUUUGUAGAGAUAAACUAAGUUGAUGCAUUGUAAGCAUCAACUCUCUUAAUUACUCUUAUAUUUGUGUCAUUGCACUCUUCAUUUCAAAAAGCUUUGCCAUGAUAAUACUUAGAAAAAAAAAAAAUAUAUAUAUAUAUAUAUAUAUAUAUAUAUAUAUAAUAUUACUCAAGACAAGCAAAAGAAAAGAUUUGAGAAUAAAGAAAAUACUAAGAAUAAUAUUAGUUUAGAAGAGGGUAAUCUACAACUUCUAAUACGCUCAUGUUUUAUGAAGAAAAAGAGGUAAUUCACUCUUAAUCAAAAGAAGACAAAGCUCUAAUAUUAUAAGUGUACUCUUUUCAAUCUGUCAAAGACAUGAACUAAAAGAAGAUGCAUAAAUUUGUAAAAUCCAUAUAAAAAGAAAAGUAACAAAAUAAAAAUAAAGAAGUAUGUAUAUUAAAAGAAAAGUAGAAUGGCUAUUCUCAAAAGACAAAGAAACUAGAGACUUCUUUUAUCUAAACUAGAAGCAAGAAAGGAAUUGAUAAGAGUGAAGAAGGCUUCACUCUUGCCUCUAUAUAUACUAUCUACCUAAGAUCUAUGUGGUGACGUUCUAUAACACCUCCAAAAAUGUGUUGACUUUAUAUGAUAUGUAUCUUGACUUGCAAGGCAAGUUUUCUAUAUGGGUACCACAUAAUUAGCUUGUUCUGCAAGCUACCAACACAUGUGGCAUGUGAUUAGCUUGUUGACCAAGUUUCUAACCUACCAAUAAACUACAAACACAUAUAAAGUCAAAACUGUAUCUAGGAAACUUCAAGGAAGCUCUUCUAGAAGAUAUUAUGAAAUUAAUCUACUUUUACCUACUUCUAUUUAUUUAUAUUAUCUUGGUAAUAAUUAUAAUAGAUAUAUAUUCAUGACAGCAAAUCUACCUUUGAAUCAAAAAAUAAAUAAAUAAAUCCUAUUAUCAACGCUAUAAUCUUUUGGAGAAAUAAUCCUUUAUACAUAAAGAUUCAAGAUUUAAAAUCUUUCACAAUUGGUUAUAUGUUUCUAAGAAGCUUUUAUAAUCUUCUAGAAGUUUUAUAUAUAUAUAUAUAUAUAUAUAUAUAUAUAUAUAUAUAAAUAGAAAAAAAUUAAUAAAAAAAAUAACUAAAUUCAAUUUUAAUUUAUAAACAUCUUAACAAAGUAUACAAAAAAUAUCUUAAUAACCAUAAAAAUCUAAUCAUAUAUCUUAAAAUCUAAUAAACAUUUUUUUAUUAUUUAAUUAUUAAAAUCAAGAAUUCAUAAAGAAUUAUUAUUAAAACUAAUUCUUAAAAUAAAUUUUAAAAUAAUUCUAGUUCAAUGUAUAUUUAAACUUCUAAAUUAAUCUAAAAAUAAAUUUAUUAUUCCAAUGAAACCAUAAAUUUUAAAACCUCAAAUUCUUAAUUAUAAAUCUCAAAGAAAACUCUAAAUCUUCUAUUAAAUCCUAAUUUUAAUUUAGAUCUCAAAUUAUAAUUUUGAAUACUAGAAAAUGUCAAAUUAAAUCUUUAAACUUGUUUCUAUUAAAAAUAUAUUACUAAAGACAUCUUAUUAAUUUUAUUUUAUUAUAAAUAAAUUUAUUAACUUAAUUGCUAAAUAUUAUAUUUACAAAAAAAUCAUAUAUCAGUUUUUUAGAAAAUACUAUCUUUAGUAAAAUUAAUUAAUUUUCUUGGAAACAAUAGGCUAUUAGAAAUUAUUCCUAAAUUAGAAAAGAUAGAAAUUUAAAAUAUCAAUUAAUUUAAAUAAAUAUUUAGACAAGUUUAAUUUUUUAUAUAUAUCUACUUAAGUUAGAAGUUUAAAGGAAGUGAAAGCAUUCCAAGUCCUGAAGGUGAGAAUGGCUUACAAGUAGUUAUAAUUCGAAUUAAUAUUGGUAGUUUUAAUAAAACAACAAAUUAUUAAAUUCAAAUUGGAAACAUUCUAAGUUCAAUGAACUCUUUGUACCAUGUAAACUAACCUCUAUAAGUCAUUCUUUAGUCAUGCCAAAUUCACAGAGAGCACAACAAUUUAUUCAUAAGAAUGUCUUACUCCUACACAAUUAAUUGCUUGUUGCCCACACUCAAGAGCAACAGGCAAGGUUCGUUAUCCAACUUUCAUCCCGCAAAAGUAAUGAUUUAUUGGCCAAUAUUCACCUACAUGAAAAUAAUUUUAAAAAAUCCAUCAACAAUCUUUUAGUCUUCUUUCCCCAAAUAAAUUCUAUGCUACUGUCAUUUAAAUUCUCAUAUCCUGUAUGUACCGAUCUAUGUUUUAUCCACAUGACUUUCACUGCACUUCAAUUAAAUUUCACAAUUUUGCACUUUUACUUCUAUUAACAAAUAUUACUUUAUAUUAAUUACUAUCACUUAUUCAAAAUCAUCUUGUUAGUAUUAAAAUCUUCAAAUCUCAAAUUACAUCAAAGUACGCUCUAAUCCACAACUUGAAUCAGCUCAACUCACUACAAUGAUUCAAGUCAAAAAAUCACUAAUCUUUACGUUACAUAAUGAUUGCUUGACGAGUAGAUAAAAAAUCAAUUAUAUUUUUGGUUAUUGAGAUGUAGCAUGAAAAAAACAAAACAUCAUUUGUGGUGCAACAAACCACUUCCAACUCGUUAUCAAUGAAACGAAACACAGAUUAAUCAUUUGCACAAUAAUACUUUCCAGCAUUUAGUCAUACAUUCCGUAGACAUAGUAGCAACUCGUUCAGAAAACUCCCAAUUGCAGAGUAAAACCAGAUUCAUCAAGUGGCUUCUUCAAAUUCUUUCAAGCAACUGUAAAAAACAAAAGCCAACAAAAGUGCUCACAAAGGUACCGUUACAGGUGUCAUUGAAAGUAUGGAAAAGUUCCAAGAUAAAAUCACAUGAACCAUAAAAGCCAGAUUAUUUGGAUCGUGACCGCAGAAUUUUCACCAGUCACUAAUUUAUAACCUACAAUCGUCCAACUUCACAAGCUGACAUGGCAUAACAACAAACAAUGCCUUGUUAACUCCGAUUCGACACAAACUCUAUAACAUCUAGGGGACUCGCUCUAAACCAACAGGCCUAGCUCAAUGAGUCAAAACUAACGAUCUAAAUUAGGUCCAGAACAAUUUCAUAACCAUUGAAAAACCAGCAAUCUUAGUGUCCAUAGGAAGAAAUAUACACAACAUUUUACUUCUUACUCAAAUAUCCGUAUUCACAGAUAUAUUGCAGUAUCCCCAUCCAAAACCUGAGGUCCCAUAACAGCAAACACAAAUAUCAACUGAACAUUGAUACAGCCCACUCCAACAACAAAAACUUCACGGAUCUCAAAGAAACAAAAAAAAAAAAAAAAAAAAAAAAAAAACUCAAAAAUUCACAACACUUCAGAACAAGUGAACCUUAUCCUAUAUUGUAAUGGAUCCCGAUACUAAGUGCAAAACGUAGUAUCAAACCAAUGUCUACCGGCAUAGCUGGAAACGUCUCGAAACAAUUACCUCG